This is a long non-coding RNA of Scatophagus argus, 1073 nucleotides long. RefSeq lists it as uncharacterized. The transcript is spliced from 3 exons. NCBI's taxonomy places the organism in Eukaryota, Metazoa, Chordata, Actinopteri, Scatophagidae. The record is from RefSeq and is a predicted model, not a curated record.
UACCAGAUGCCUCCAGUAGGGGGCACACAUACUUAUUGAGCUGCGUUGGACAACACAGCUGCCUUCAAUUAACACAAACAUGAUCUGAGGAAAGACGUGUUACUGUUUGAUACAAAAUGCUCCGCUUGACAGUGGCCUCUGAACUCCUGCUCUAAAUGUGGCACUGCACCUAUGUUGGUGCACUUUAUGAAGCAGUGGCAACACGUCCGACCAAGUGCAGAUGUGUGGAGUCAUGAGUUAUUCCAGGAAUGCAGAUCAACAUCAGCAGCAGAGGAAAUGAAGUGACAAGCUUCCCUUGCAGGUCUGUCUUGAUUGGUCAUCAUCUCAGCAGGUCAUCAAUGUAGUGAUUGAGUUACCAAAGCAUUUGUGAAGGAACACAAUGUGGUGUCUGUCAUUCCUUUUAUUCAGAUAACUGGUCAUCAUUACAUUAUUUCCCAUCAGGUAUUUUGGUGGAUAGACUCCACUCCGACAUAACUUACAGCAAGUAUGGCAAGGAAUGAUCAGAGAUCUGAUGAAAGUAUACACGUAUCCUGAAACCAGUAUCCUGGUUCCAGUCACAGUACUCAAGCUAGGAUGUAUGCUUCUCAAGACCAGGAUCAGUUCUAAUCCAGAUUUCUGAGACCAGGAUAAAGUGUUUACAUGCGUAAAACAUAACUGGGACAGUUAUAUAUUUAUACUUAUACUACAAUGUGCUGGAGACAGCUGCUAUGUUAUCUAUGCUAUAAAUAGCUGACACGAAAACCAAAGUGAAUGAAACACAGAGCUCAUUAAACAGUGUCUUACUUUAGCAACUUGAUUCAGUUUAGUCCCAAAGAUCAGUAAUGUAGUGUGCUUGUUGGAGAGUGUGUGCCAACUGGAAGACUGUGUUUAAGACACGUCAAAAAAGUUUCUUAUUCAAACAAGAAGUAAAGCAAAUUAAACUAUCAGUGUUGUAUACUCACAACUGGGAGCUCAUAUAACUGAAACAGGUAUUUUGACACCGAAGUCAACUGUGUUUGUGGACCUCUAAUGUAGAGGGCAGACCAGCCAAGAGUUUCCCCCAGAGGCUGAGUAAAGUGCUCAUUUCCUUGUCA